Non-coding RNA from Carassius auratus (goldfish), 332 nucleotides. Ensembl annotates it as small Cajal body-specific RNA 7. The record is from Ensembl. NCBI's taxonomy places the organism in Eukaryota, Metazoa, Chordata, Actinopteri, Cypriniformes, Cyprinidae.
UGGUGCUGGUGUGAGUGACUGCUCAAUACUGUUUAGAGUAAUGUUUAAAGUGUAUUUUAGCUCUCUAGUGUUUAUAAUGAUGUUUAAAGUGUAUUACAGCUCUGUAUAGUGUGUGUGUGUGUGUGUGUGUGUGUGUGUGUGUGGGGCUGACGGUGGGGGUGGCAGACACCAGUGCUGAUACAGGAGUGCAUCUGAGGCGGGCCGCUCACACAGAGGCUUCUCUGCGGUCUGGCUGAUGAUUAGAGCCUCAGUAUCAUCCUCGCCCUCAGCCGCCAGCGCCACGGUCUCAGCAGGGCUGUGAUUCAUCUCACAUGUCCUGGGAUCUGAUCCGA